AGCACAGCAGUAGCAAUACUGUGGGUGGCGAGUGGCGGACGGGUGAGGAAUACAUCGGGACCUGCCCAGACGUGGGGGAUAACGUAGGGAAACUUACGCUAAUACCGCAUACGUCCUACGGGAGAAAGCGGGGGAUCGCAAGACCUCGCGCGGUUGGAUGGACCGAUGUUCGAUUAGCUAGUUGGUGGGGUAAUGGCUCACCAAGGCGACGAUCGAUAGCUGGUCUGAGAGGAUGAUCAGCCACACUGGGACUGAGACACGGCCCAGACUCCUACGGGAGGCAGCAGUGGGGAAUAUUGGACAAUGGGCGCAAGCCUGAUCCAGCAAUGCCGCGUGUGUGAAGAAGGCCUUCGGGUUGUAAAGCACUUUUAUCAGGAGCGAAAUACUACCGGCUAAUACCCGGUGGGGCUGACGGUACCUGAGGAAUAAGCACCGGCUAACUUCGUGCCA
RNAcentral lists this ribosomal RNA (450 nucleotides) under uncultured bacterium. RNAcentral's name for it is "bacterial SSU rRNA". It matches the Rfam family "Bacterial small subunit ribosomal RNA", at positions 68 to 510 of the family's 1533-position model. The record is from RNAcentral.